UCCUUCUGUUCUCCUACCACAGGUCCCAGACAAGCCAAACUGAACACACUCCUAGAACACGGCAAGCCGUUCCCCACUCCCAAGCCUAUGUUCCCACUUUCCUGCCUGCCCGAAAUGCCUUUUUCCCGCCACAGUGCCUAGGGAGUAACCUCACCCCUCGCAGCUCCGCUGAAGUACCACACCUUUCUAGCAAGCAUCUCUGAUGAGAAGGGAAGUCAGUCAUCCCUUCUCUAGAAAAAGUCCAGAGCAAAGGUUCUGGAACCAGAAUGCCUGGGAUAAAGCCCCAGCCUCGCCAUAUUCCACAUGUCUGACAAUGGGCAAGUUAACUGACUUCUUCAUAUAUCCAGUUCCUAAUCUGUGAAAUGGGAGUAAAAUAUCUUGAGUACAGAGCUAUUGCCAGCAGCUCGCUCCACGCCGGUGUCUUCCUCACUCCUCCUUCCCACUCGCCAAACACACCAGCAGCUCAGGAGGCUGCAAGGGCUGCCCGCCGUCCCUGGUCUGGCUGAUAAGUGUCCGAAGUUCCCAACUUCUUCGAGCUGACCCACUUGAAUCACCUUUUGGAUAUGCUGGUUCUGCAGGAAGUAUGUUUUUCACACAAGUUAAGAUUUACGACACAGACACAGCUGAUGUAAUUGAGAGCAGGACUGAAGUGCUAAGGCACUGUGGUGUAUUUCAAGAUAAGGCAACAAAGAGCUUUUAAAAAAGGCUGAAGGAGGACACGGAAGGGAUACUUAGUUACAGAGCAAGCACCCAGGAGCCCAGAGAGUGAGAGCAUGCACGUCAGAGGAGGAGUCAUAAAGCAAAUGACCAGCUGAGCACCAAAUACCUGAAU
Panthera uncia (snow leopard) is the source of this 832-nucleotide long non-coding RNA. RefSeq lists it as uncharacterized. Lineage: Eukaryota; Metazoa; Chordata; Mammalia; Carnivora; Felidae. The record is from RefSeq and is a predicted model, not a curated record. The transcript has 4 exons.